RNAcentral lists this long non-coding RNA (418 nucleotides) under Panax ginseng (ginseng). RNAcentral describes it as "long non-coding RNA (PGIN_LNC014992)". Lineage: Eukaryota; Viridiplantae; Streptophyta; Magnoliopsida; Apiales; Araliaceae. The record is from RNAcentral.
GCCUGAUAUAGAGACUGCCCAUAAGAUAAGGCUGAGCUUAAACCUUAUGUGUCGUCUAACUGAGCAGCAACACAAUAUCGGAAGACCACUAUGUCUAUAUUUUUUCUCAUGUAAAGUUCGUUAUCGACGACCAGCUAGUCACUAUCUUGGCUGAUGACGAAGAAGUGGGCUCAAGAAAGGUAGAAGUUGUGCAGCAUGUAGAGUCGGGACUUCAAUUCCUAUCGUAUCAGUUCCAGACAGUCAAUUGUAUCCCCCUCGACGCGAGGAAAACUUUGUUAUAAAUUAUCCCUUUUCUUAUCAGGCUCGGGACUAACAAGAAUGGUUGGGACAACAAACAUCCAUCUCGUUUGUAUUUUGGAUACCCGUAUAACCAUCGAAGGCUGUUGAAGUGACUAAUUCCUGGAAAUUAGGAGGCGUA